AAAUAUUUUUAUAUUCAUUUCCCUCUCACGCCGCUCACUGGAGAGCUUUAUCAAGUGCACAGUGGCAAUUCGGGUGAUUAAUCAAUUAUGAAAUUUGACACGUCAAUUUGGAUGAAAAUUCUAAAACAAUAUGGCCUAAAUCUAACAUGGGAUUUUUACCUAAUUUAGACACUAUUUUUAAAGAGGCUAAAGUUGGAGUUUUUUAUUUUGUUUGGUGCUGCUGACUGAGGAGCAGGCCAUGAUUGACAUCAACCACCUUAGCAGUGAACUAAAGUUCAUUGUUCGGCACAAGCCCAUGAUGAAGGAGGCAGGUCCACCAGAACAAGGCAAACUGGCCAUGAAUUGGACUCCUGUUCCAUCGGGACCUAAUCCACCCCAUUUUCUAAAUGAGAGUGGAUUGUGGUCCCAUCUCAUGAAGAUUAAUAAACCUCUGCCAAUAUGAGCCGAAUGACCCAACCCUAAUGAAGCCGGUCAGAUGCCCAGCCCAAUGUUCCUGAUAACAUUUUAAUUCAUUUUCAGCAACUUCUAGUGCCAAGAUAGAGAUGAAAUUCAAUUUUCAACAUAAAUGUAAGUAGAAUAAAUAAGAGACAAUGACCUACAACGGUAACUAAGUUCAAAUCAACGGGAUAUUAAGCGAGAGUAGAACAAAAUCUCCAAAUGCGGAAAAUACAGCUCACUCAUACAUGAAUGAUCUCAGCACCAUACAUAUAUUGCUACUACUAAUCAUAUCUCCAAAGUCCAAUGCAAGGCAGGUUCCAUGGUCGCCUAAUAAAAUAAAGAAGAAGCCCAUAAUAAAAGCAAGCCGGAAAAUCCUGUCCACGCCAUUCUGCUGCCAUCAUUUCCCGGCACUCCUGUACAAACAUUACAAUAAAUGCCAUGCCAUUUUUAAGUUAUCAUUCAAGAUCAACACGAAUCAUUUCAGAGAAAAAGGCAUGCCUAACACAUUAAACUUUAUCCCAGGAACACCAAAAGGGUCAUUCCAAUAACUAAAUAAUAUCCACUCAAUGUACCUUUUUUUUUUUUAAUAGAUGCAUCAUAAAUUACUAGCUUUUUUGGGUUUUGCAUGGCCCUGAGAAAUCAGAACUACAGACAAUUAUAUGGGGACAAAUGUUAACUGCCUUGGUUAAAAAUGUGUUUGUUGGCCAUCUAUUAUGAAAGUCAAAAAAAAUGUGGCACCGAAAGCAGCAAGGAGCCAAGGACAGGAGCACGCCAGGCAGGCAUCAUCCUGAACAUCUUUACAACCCUGAUAUUGCUUCAAUCAUGUUAGUUGUGUCGACCAAUAUUCGUAAACAUUUCACGGACAACGUUUGCUUCAAAAAUAAAAUAACAGCAGGAUUCAAGUAUACCUUCAUUUUACCAAUGCUUUUAGGAUCCAAAAACAAAUGGAACAAAAUGAAAUUGAUUCGAGAAAGAGCGUUCUUUUCAAGCCAUAGGAGCAAAAUUUUACCAGGGGGCGGUGGAACGGCAGCAUUCGGGGCGGUAGGCGACUCAGCUUUGUUGCAAGCAGUGAGAUCAGCGUUAACACCGCAUCGCUUGGUGAGCGCGAUGGCCUGACUGACAUUGACGUUAAUGCUUUGAAGCAAACCAGGAGUGUUGUAGAGGUUGCAAAGGCAGGAAAGAUCGUUUUUGAUGGCUUCUCUGAUGGAGCCACAGCAGGUCUCUGGAGGGGUGGUUGUGGUGUUGAGGUACUCGCCGCAUGGGAUUAGCUUCUGGGCACAAGAUGCGAUGUUCUGCGCUUGUGUUGUGGUUGUGCUGAUGCUCACAAGGAGGACGGCCACCAUCAUGACUACCGGGGACAUGGCUGUUGAGGAGGCCAUUUUCUUUUCCGUGAAGGAGGGACAGUGGUAGAGAAGUGGUAGGGGUACUUUGCACUGCCCUGUUGUUCUGUCCACUACUUAUUUAUCGCGGCAUAGAAAAGAGAAAAAUUAAAGGCCCCACGUGGCCGCGAUGGACG
This 1954-nucleotide unclassified non-coding RNA is filed under the name Hevea brasiliensis (rubber tree). Lineage: Eukaryota; Viridiplantae; Streptophyta; Magnoliopsida; Malpighiales; Euphorbiaceae. The record is from RNAcentral.